UACAGAGGGUGCGAGCGUUAAUCGGAAUUACUGGGCGUAAAGCGUGCGUAGACGGUUAUUUAAGUCGGGUGUGAAAUCCCCAGGCUUAACCUGGGAACUGCAUUCGAGACUGCAUUGCUAGAGUAUGGGAGAGGGAAGUGGAAUUUCCGGUGUAGCGGUGAAAUGCGUAGAUAUCGAGAGGAACACCUGUGGCGAAAGCGAAUCUCUGGACAGUUCCUGACGCUGAGGCUCGAAGGCUAGGGUAGCGAAAGGG
This 253-nucleotide ribosomal RNA is filed under the name uncultured bacterium. RNAcentral describes it as "partial 16S ribosomal RNA". It matches the Rfam family "Bacterial small subunit ribosomal RNA", at positions 524 to 776 of the family's 1533-position model. The record is from RNAcentral.